GUAAGUUGCAAUGUUUUUUUACUAACUAUAAGUUGUAGUGUGUUGUCCUCAAUUGUAAAUACUAAUCCUCACAUUGUUUCAUAGAAGACUAAUCCUCGCAUUGUUGGUGAUGUUGCCGCUAUUAGAUCGGAUAUCUUUACCUCACGAAUUUCAAGCGCUUGGAGCAAAUGAUGUUCCAGUUAGGAUUCACAAGUGGUGCUUCGUCACAAAAUAUUGCAGAUGAGCUGCGCUCAAGCUUCCAGUAAACAUCCUUUAUUUAUGCUCCUCUGGNNNNNNNNNNNNNNNNNNNNNNNNUUAUGCUCCUCUGGUUCCGGUUUUAAUCUACGGCUGUGCUUACUAAUGGAUGUUUCUGUCAGGAAAACAACCUCAACUUCUGGACAAUCUCAGCAACCUGCAAAGCGAUGAGCAGUUUCAGUAUAUGUAAUGAACUGAACCGGAGUUUCUUUGAUGAUGCAGCGACUGAUACAAGCACGAGUGACUUGCGGCACAUGUGUUCCAAAAGUUGAUUUCAGAGAAAAAUGAGUGAAUGUUGUUUGUGUGUAGGCAAGACCGAGUUAGUUGAGGAACAUCUAUGCUGCGUGCGUACUAGAGGCUGUGCAAGANNNNN
RNAcentral lists this long non-coding RNA (607 nucleotides) under Hordeum vulgare. Its description in RNAcentral is "long non-coding RNA (HVUL_LNC013491)". The record is from RNAcentral. Lineage: Eukaryota; Viridiplantae; Streptophyta; Magnoliopsida; Poales; Poaceae.